AUUGAACGCUGGCGGCAGGCUUAACACAUGCAAGUCGAGCGGGGUGAUGGUGCUUGCACUAUCACUUAGCGGCGGACGGGUGAGUAAUGCUUAGGAAUCUGCCUAUUAGUGGGGGACAACAUCUCGAAAGGGAUGCUAAUACCGCAUACGUCCUACGGGAGAAAGCAGGGGAUCACUUGUGACCUUGCGCUAAUAGAUGAGCCUAAGUCGGAUUAGCUAGUUGGUGGGGGAAAGGCCUACCAAGGCGACGAUCUGUAGCGGGUCUGAGAGGAUGAUCCGCCACACUGGGACUGGGACACGGCCCAGACUCCUACGGGAGGCAGCAGUGGGGAAUAUUGGAAAAUGGGGGGAACCCUGAUCCAGCCAUGCCGCGUGUGUGAAGAAGGCCUUAUGGUUGUAAAGCACUUUAAGCGAGGAGGAGGCUCUUUUGGUUAAUACCCAAGAUGAGUGGACGUUACUCGCAGAAUAAGCACCGGCUAACUCUGUGCCAGCAGCCGCCGUAA
Molecule: ribosomal RNA, 503 nt
Filed under: uncultured bacterium
Lineage: Bacteria
Description: partial 16S ribosomal RNA
Rfam family: Bacterial small subunit ribosomal RNA
Source: RNAcentral